UUGUAAGUUAGGGGAAUACUUCAUGCUUUGAUGUUACAUCCAGUGGUUUCACAGCGCUGCGCCUUUGAUAAGGAAAAGCGAGGUGCUUUAUUAUUAAAAGAGGUUAAAAAUCAUCUCAUAUGUAGAUAAUAAAAGGGUUAAGCCGUAGAUUUUUUAACCCUGGCAAGUUUUUUCUUUUUUUUUUCCUUUUAACUCCUGCAAUGAAAAUGCAGCCGCUCCCUCACUUGCAGCGCUGCCUUGAGAAAAAAAGAAUAAUAGCAAUCAUUGUCUAACAGGCGAGGCAAGUCAUGAAUCUUAAGUGGGCAGCCGGGACGAAGGCUGCAGACUCCAGGGGAACCUUGCUGUUGUUCCCUUGGCUGCAGCCGGAGCUCCACUUGAUGAUGUAUUAAUCAAUAAAUAAAAGGGAAAUCCCUAAUAGGCCUCUGGUAAAGACUGGAGGAGCACAGUGAAGCUCCGUCUCAUAAUGAAGAUGUAAAUACACAGGAGAGGCAAUGCACAAGAUCUCGGAUUUUUAAACAAGAGUUUAAAAGAAGAUGGAGAAGAGAGAUGCAGAGAGAUGGACUUACACUCAGCAGCUAAGCAGAGCUGACAUGAAAGCAGAUAAAAAGUUAAAUGUUUUGAUCUAAGUUAAUAAAGUUGAAAACUGGAUUUUUUCACUCUCACAAAGUAGUGUAGUUCUUGACUAUCUUUGAAGUCAAAUAAAAAUAUUGCAGACUAAAAACUAUGGAUGACCAGGAAGUCACGAAAAGCCAACCAGAAAAAGAUGUCCCUUCAUAAAGGACUGAAGUUCUACAUUCCAAUCUGUAUUAUUUCUGCUCGGUCACUACAGUUUUUCCCUCCUCCUUACUGGCCUCACAGCUGCUGUUCUGAGCCUGUGGUCUUUUUACAAGUAAUUAGUCCAAUUGAUUGUGUUCUGUUUACAUGCUCUACUAUAGGCCAUUAGGAAAAAAAAAACAAACAAAAAACAGGCCGAACACAUUGAGGGCAGCUUGCAAAAAUCCACCCACAGGAAAAGAAGCACUGAGGAAAGUGGGAGCAGUUCAUUAGCAAGUUAAAUCAGAUGUUAAACAGUAGGGGUUGAUUACAUGUUGAUACAAUCGACUGUAUUAAAUAUGGACGACACGAAAGCUCACCAAAUGCAAAGUCAAAACAUCUGUAUCGCCCCCUGGUGGUUGACUGCAGUACAGCCCAUAAAUCCCUCCUGCUUCAUGUUAGCAAAUGGGACACGAGCCAAACUGAAAAUGCAAGGAACAUGACGGCUAAAUUUUCCCCAGAGAGGUAGGCAGUUCUUAUCACGCUGAUGUUUGUUCAAGUGUUCAUUUUUCUGAUCAGUUUGGUUAUCAUUAUUUGAUGGCAUAAAAAGAGGUUGAAACAUGACUGACAGCUGAGUGCUGCUUCUGAAUGGCUCAGACGGGUAUGUGGGCAGGAACUCAAUACUGAUCAAACUUAAGGGAUCUUCGGCUCUGGGGAUGUCAGUUUUUCAUUUGGUCCUGACUGAAACAUCUCAACAUCUGUUGGAUUGCCAUGAAAUUUAUGGUCCCAAGAGGAAGAGCCCCAAUUAUUUUGGUGGAUAUCUGAUGUUAAAUUUAGAGCCGCAAUCAGGUCACAGUUUAAAUGCACAAUACUUAAAUUACUCAAAGCAACACUAGUGAAAAUCCAAAUUUCAGUUCCAGUUCAUUUACUUGAUGCCCUUUGUUUGUUAAGCCAAAGUGCCUGACUGAAAGUUUCUUUCAUAUAUUAGCAUCCUAAUUAGAGAAAACAAAACACACGACACAUGCUGUCUGUUAGCCUUAUUCCUAUUUCCAUCAAUAUCAGGUUGACAGCUGCAGUUCUCCCUGAAGCCCUGCAUCUUUUACAUGGUUCAGUGUGAGGUCGCUCAGCCAGAAACCCUGUCCUUCUCAUUCUCCAUCUUUUUGAUAUUUAAUUCACCCAAUUAGAUUAUUUCUGCCCCUGAGAGAUGUUUGAAUAACAAAUAAACCAAUCUGUCUGUGUUUGCAGAAUUUUCUGUCUGUGUUUAAAUCCAUGUCAGUCUGUAUGGAUGAGAGAACAGCCUCUCACUGCGUUUGUGUAUGUGUGAGCUUUGAUGGGAGGGGAUGUCGGACAUCAUUCGCCACUAUGUGCUGUGUUUGUCCAUCAAUCGUCCGUCUGUCAGCUUCAGGCCCUCCAUCUGUCUGCAUGUCCCUCCAGCCUGAGUGUCUGGAUCAUUCCCAGCCUGCUUCACUCGGUGUAUGAAACAGCCAAUUACGGGGACCAGACUGGUCCAGCGACUGGGUUUUUGUGCCAGUCCAAGUGCAGGCAACCUUGGGUGAGAACCUGAGUUUUCUUUCAGCUUUAAAUAAGGCAUAAGCAGUACAGACAUUGUUGUGAUAAAACAAUGAACCAUCAAAAAGACCGAGUUUGCCUCACUUUCUUCCCGAGCCUCAAUGCCAUAUCAAAAGGAUCAGAUGUUGUCAGAUCACAGAGCGACACUUCUAAAAAAAGAGAGGAGACUGACAAAGACGUAUCUGAACACACUGGACCGCGAGGAGCAGCAGCUGGUGGGGGAUGAUUUCUCGGAAAGUGUCAGUGCUUUAACAGUUGUCAAAGCUGAAUAAUAUGCUGUUCAUUAGCAUAUCUGUGUUGUUUGUGUCUUAUUAAACCAGUUGAACCAUGGAAAGUUAUCACAAACAGGACUUGCUGCUUACGAAUUUAUUCUUAUUUAAGUCAGAUAGUUUAAGAUGUCUUCUGUGAGUUUUUGACAGUUUCCUAAAUUCCUAAGAUUUCUCAUACAUCCUUAAAUGGAAAAACUGAAGAUUUUCAUCCAACAGACAGCCUUUUUGUGUUUUCAAUUACAUUUUUUACUCAGUUUUUUUCGCCAUACAUUAUCCUGUCCGACAAUAUGACAUAGAAGUGACAUUCUAACGUACUCAUAAAGCUGAGAGAUGCUGAGUAAAUGUAUCAGU
Scatophagus argus is the source of this 2942-nucleotide long non-coding RNA. RefSeq lists it as uncharacterized. The transcript is spliced from 4 exons. NCBI's taxonomy places the organism in Eukaryota, Metazoa, Chordata, Actinopteri, Scatophagidae. The record is from RefSeq and is a predicted model, not a curated record.